UACGUGGGUGGCAAGCGUUGUCCGGAUUUAUUGGGUUUAAAGGGUGCGUAGGUGGCCCUGUAAGUCAGUGGUGAAAUAUCUCAGCUUAACUGAGAGGGUGCCAUUGAUACUGCAGGGCUUGAGUACAGAUGAGGUAGGCGGAAUUGACGGUGUAGCGGUGAAAUGCAUAGAUAUCGUCAAGAACACCGAUAGCGAAGGCAGCUUACCAAGCUGUAACUGACACUGAGGCACGAAAGUGUGGGGAUCAAACAGG
This 253-nucleotide ribosomal RNA is filed under the name uncultured bacterium. RNAcentral's name for it is "partial 16S ribosomal RNA". It matches the Rfam family "Bacterial small subunit ribosomal RNA", at positions 524 to 776 of the family's 1533-position model. The record is from RNAcentral.